CAUUAUGUCACUUUAUAUAAGGCUCUGUCUCCCUGGGAUUUCUGCUUGCUGGCUUGAUGAAUUAAGCCAGGUGGAAAGGUUUUCUUUAAGUGGGCAGCCUCAAGCCAACAGCCAGCAAGGAAAAAAAAACCUAUAUUCCACAAUCACCCUAUAUUCCACAACCCCGAGAAAAUAAGUAAGCUUGGAAGCAGAUUCUUCUCCAGUCAAGCUCCCAGAGGAGAACACAGCCAGGCUGACUCUUGAGUCCAGCCUUGUGAUGGCCCAGGUAAGCCAUGGCUAGGCUCCUGACUGAUAGAAAUUGUGACAUCACACAUGUGUUAUUUUAGGCUACUAAGUUUGUGAUAAUUUGUUGUGCAAUAAUAGCUUAGUUAAAUCAUGAUUAACCACUGGAAGAAGGAGGAAACCAACAUAUCUGAUGCACUGGACAAUGAAUAUCCAUUCAAAAUCAGGCUCUUCCAGGAAAGACGAGAGACACUUGGCUAUAGAAGUACAGAGAAGUUUUCUGCAAAAUGGAAAUGAGUAUCAUGAAGUUUUAAAUGAACAGUGUGAAACAGAAGAAAACAUCAGCAUUCAUUAUGUCCCAGACCUCUUUGAGAAUCUGACAAAAUUCUGGACAACCUCUCCUCCCACAAACAAGAUGUACUUGAAUACCUACACAUAAAAUGUUGCAUUCCAUUUUAGAAUGUGGAUAUCACUUGAGGCCUAUCCAGAGGUCUCUAAGGACUUGACUGGUGCAGUAUUGGUGGCUGCUGGAUCAGAUGAGCUCCCUUCUACUCAGAGAAACAAUCAAUGUUUGCAACCACUAAGAGGGACUUUUGUUAUUACCGCCUAUCCUGACAGAUUCAGGUGCUAUGACUAUUUAAGGGGCACCAUCUUGUCAGAAGCAGCAAUUCCAGAGACAAAACCUGGGGAGAUUUCAGCACCACUGGGUGUGCCUUCUGAACAGCAGGAGUGGGCUUCCAGCCGGAGCCCAGAUGAAGGUUAACUACAGGACAAUUUACCAAAUGGACAAGAGAUUCCCAAGGAUGCAGCAUUCAUAUUCUGGCCUCCAAAGAGAGACACACGAAAAGGAUGCCAGGGCAGAAUAAUAAAAGGAGCCAGGCACCUAC
RNAcentral lists this long non-coding RNA (1109 nucleotides) under Rhinopithecus bieti (black snub-nosed monkey). RNAcentral describes it as "lncRNA (ENSRBIG00000045855.1)". The record is from RNAcentral. Lineage: Eukaryota; Metazoa; Chordata; Mammalia; Primates; Cercopithecidae.